UACGUAGGGGGCAAGCGUUGUCCGGAAUCAUUGGGCGUAAAGAGCGCGUAGGCGGUCCGGUAAGUCCGCUCUGAAAGUCCGGGGCUCAACCCCGGGAGGCGGGCGGAUACUGUCGGGCUAGAGUCCGGAAGAGGCGAGUGGAAUUCCUGGUGUAGCGGUGAAAUGCGCAGAUAUCAGGAGGAACACCUGUGGUGUAGACGGCUUUCUGGACCAUAGCUGACGCUGAGACACGAAAGCGUGGGUAGCAAACAGG
RNAcentral lists this ribosomal RNA (253 nucleotides) under uncultured bacterium. RNAcentral describes it as "partial 16S ribosomal RNA". It matches the Rfam family "Bacterial small subunit ribosomal RNA", at positions 524 to 776 of the family's 1533-position model. The record is from RNAcentral.